RNAcentral lists this long non-coding RNA (1630 nucleotides) under Apteryx haastii (Great spotted kiwi). RNAcentral describes it as "lncRNA (ENSAHAG00000003893.1)". The record is from RNAcentral. Lineage: Eukaryota; Metazoa; Chordata; Aves; Apterygiformes; Apterygidae.
GAAGAUGUCAUAUCCUUAUGGCAUCAGGACUUCAUUGCUUCCACAUCCCCAGGGAGCCCAGGAGGUGCCAUAUUGUUUUCCUGCACUCACUGUUGCACACCCCCACCCUCACACUGCCUCCAGGAAGAGCGUGAGGGACAGGAUCACCCUGUCCAGGGGCUGGGUGCCUGUGCUUGGCCGUUCUGCUUGAUAAAACACAUCAAUGUUUACUUGGCAUCAGAGACGUGCACAUUGCCUUUGCCUACCUAUAAUCAGCGCCUCCAACUUCCUGCUCUAAUUAGCCCCUGGGGAGGCUUUGUUGGUAAUGGCCCUCAGUGGGACCCAUUAGCGCACCAAGAAACUUUGGAAUUUGCUUCUGACUUUAACUUCUUGAAAGGUUUGUUCAGUCUCCCCUCAGUAUCUGAGGUUCAUGGACUCAGCACCAAAUACACCAGAGGGGCCAUUAAAAUGCAAAAAACCCGAACAAGCUAUGUCACCCCCCCUAAUUUUCUUCAGUUCUUCAAUUCUUGUAUGGCUAAUUGGAGAGGUUUCAAGAGUGUAUUUACAAGAGGAAGAUUUCAAAGAGCACCGAAAAAAAAAAAAGCACCACUGAUCUCUCCAGGAACCUGUCCUGUUUAUCAUCUUUAUUAGUGACACGGAGGAAGCAACACUCAUCAUGCUUGUAGAUUGCCCCAAACUGGAAGGGGCAGACCAGUCCUGUGCGUGAGGGCUGCCAUUCAGAGGGACCUAGACAGGCAGGAGCAAUGAGCAUCAGAAACCUCACUAAAUUCAGCAAGGACAAAUGCCAGGUCUUGCACCUGSCAUAGACCAACACCCCACAGUGUUACAGUCUGGGGCCUGAGUGCCUGGGGAGUGGCUCUGCAGAAAAGGACAUGAGGGUCUUGGUGGACAGAAGGCAAAAUAUGAGCCAGCAGCAUUCCGUGGCAGCAAAGAAGGCCAAAAAGUACUGUGGGUUGCAUGAACAGGAGCAUAGCCAGGAGGUAGAAGUAAAUGAUGAUGCUCCUCUAGUCAGCAUUCAUUAGACCACAUCUAGAAUACUACAUCCAGUUUAGGUCCCCAGAAAAAGAGAGAGGUKGGUAYCUGRGAGYGAUUUUGGCAGAGAGMCCUCAAGACAGUUGGGGAGCUGGAGCACUAUGCAGAUACAGGGCUUGUUCAACCUGGAGAAGAGAUGGCUUUGGAUGGACCUCACAGCAGCCUAUCAAUAGCUACAAGGAGGUCACCAAGAAGAUGGAGCUAGGCUCUUCACCAUGGUGCAUGGUGGGAGGACAAGCAACAAUGGGCAUAAGUUGGAAGAAGAGGUGUUCAUGCAGGAGGUAAGGAAAAGCUUUUCCACUAUGAGGAUGGUCAAGCAUUGGAACUGGUUGCCCAGAGAGGCUAUGCAGUCUCCCCACUUGGAGGUUUCCAAGACCACACUGGAUCAAGAUCAGAGCAACAUGGCUGACCCCAGAGMUGACCCUGCUGUGAGCACGGAGAUYGGACUAGAGASCUCCUGAGGUCCCUUCCACCCUGAUGGAGUUGGUGAUUCUUCCCCCUCUGGGUCUUAGCUUGUUGAUGUCAGGGAAAGCACACAGGUUCCCYGUGACAGUGGAAGUAGGUCAGCUUGAUUCUCCUCCUCCAGUCAGAAUGGUUC